This 95-nucleotide signal recognition particle RNA is filed under the name Verrucomicrobiota bacterium. RNAcentral describes it as "signal recognition particle sRNA small type". It matches the Rfam family "Bacterial small signal recognition particle RNA". From Rfam's summary of the family: The signal recognition particle (SRP) is a universally conserved ribonucleoprotein involved in the co-translational targeting of proteins to membranes. Archaeal SRP consists of a 7S RNA and homologues of the eukaryotic SRP19 and SRP54 proteins. The record is from RNAcentral. Lineage: Bacteria; Pseudomonadati; Verrucomicrobiota.
CGUCAGGGACUAUGGAUGGAGGGCUUACGAACCCCGCCAGGGCAGGAAUGCAGCAACGGUAGUUUGACCUUCCUUGCCGUAGCUCUCUGGCGGAC